RNAcentral lists this ribosomal RNA (226 nucleotides) under uncultured bacterium. RNAcentral describes it as "partial 16S ribosomal RNA". It matches the Rfam family "Bacterial small subunit ribosomal RNA", at positions 538 to 763 of the family's 1533-position model. The record is from RNAcentral.
GCGUUGUUCGGAAUUACUGGGCGUAAGGCGCACGUAGGCGGCUUUGCAAGUUAGAGGUGAAAGCCCGGAGCUCAACUCCGGAAUUGCCUUUAAAACUGCAUCGCUAGAAUCACGGAGAGGUGAGUGGAAUUCCGAGUGUAGAAGUGAAAUUCGUAGAUAUUCGGAAGAACACCAGUGGCGAAGGCGACUCACUGGAUGUGUAUUGACGCUGAGGUGCGAAAGCGUG